RNAcentral lists this long non-coding RNA (432 nucleotides) under Vigna radiata. RNAcentral's name for it is "long non-coding RNA (VRAD_LNC008034)". The record is from RNAcentral. Lineage: Eukaryota; Viridiplantae; Streptophyta; Magnoliopsida; Fabales; Fabaceae.
GAUAUUGCACUGUUUCCUUGAGAUUCUUGAAUUGUGAUUGUCUAUGCACUCUGGCUUGGUUAAUGUGAAUUCUAUUUUUGCACUUGCAAUUGGGUAUACGCUUAGUUGCCCAGUUGGUGUUACAUCUUCGCUUAGUCGAUGUAACUGCAUGGUGUAAAUUAGAUUUGACAUUAACAUUGCGUCCGCUUAGUUCGCUUUUAUGAAACCCGGGUUAACCUUCGCUUAGUCGGUUAACUCUGUUGGAUUAGAGGUCUGAGUAGCAACUUUAUUUAGAUAAUCUGUGAUGGGAAACAUUGUAAUUAAGUUAAUGACCAACCGUUUUCAUUAUGUGUUGAAACCGUUUUCUUUAGAUCUAUGUUUACAUCUUUGUUUGUAUUUGUGUCUUUAUUGAGUUCUUUAAUUUUUGCAAAACCUUACCAACCCCCCCUUUUC